CCUACGGGAGGCAGCAGUGGGGAAUAUUGCACAAUGGGGGAAACCCUGAUGCAGCGACGCCGCGUGAGUGAGGAAGUAUUUCGGUAUGUAAAGCUCUAUCAGCAGGGAAGAAAAUGACGGUACCCUGAAAACAAGCCACGGCUAACUACGUGCCAGCAGCCGCGGUAAUACGUAGGUGGCAAGCGUUGUCCGGAUUUACUGGGUGUAAAGGGCGUGUAGCCGGGAAGGCAAGUCAGAUGUGAAAUCCGGAGGCUCAACCUCCGAAUUGCAUUUGAAACUGUUUUUCUUGAGUACUGGAGAGGCAGACGGAAUUCCUUGUGUAGCGGUGAAAUGCGUAGAUAUAAGGAGGAACACCAGUGGCGAAGGCGGUCUGCUGGACAGCAACUGACGGUGAGGCGCGAAAGCGUGGGGAGCAAACAGGAUUAGAUACCCCUGUAGUC
RNAcentral lists this ribosomal RNA (440 nucleotides) under uncultured bacterium. RNAcentral's name for it is "partial 16S ribosomal RNA". It matches the Rfam family "Bacterial small subunit ribosomal RNA", at positions 338 to 795 of the family's 1533-position model. The record is from RNAcentral.